AAACCCCAUUUUGGGGUUGUCAGUGUCCUCACUUAGUCAUUGAUGUGACAUGCUUACCUCAUACUCAAUUUGAGUUUUGCAGAACUCCCACACAUUGUGUGCCCACAGGGAUUCCGUGCUCAUGGGGCAACAAGAAUGCUAUGUGUGAGUGGAACAAGUAAAGAAUGGCAGCAGCUAUGCAUGUUAUCUGUAUUUCCUCUGCUCAUGCACAUGCUCCAUUGUCCCAUCAGCCUUCACUUACAAAACAAAAGUUCAAAGAUAAAAUUAUUAGGAAUUUCAUUAUGGUGACAACAGAGCAUUAAAUGAAGUGCCAGGCCCCAAGCACCAAGCCCUUCCCAGCAUGGGUUGUAUGCAACUGUCCAGAUCACAUGCCCAUGAAGCUGGUCAUGGGGAAAGAACUUGAUCCUUUAUUGUGGUAGAAGCCUAGGGCAUGUUGGAGAUGCAGUAGACAUGCUGGCAUGGCUGGUUAUAGCAAGGAGUACAUAACAUAGCUAACAUGUAUUAGACAUGUAUUAUGUUUCAGGUACUGUCCUAAAUAUUUCAUACAUCUUUUAAAGUUUGCCAGAGGACCCUGUGAAACAGUAUUAUUAUGUACUUCAUUUUCCAGAUGUUAAAACUUAGGAAGGCUAAAACUUAGGAAGAUCAAAUAAUCUGCUCAAGCUCAGGCCUGGGUACUGGGUGACAGAGGGUAUACUCUUAACCAGCUCAUCAUGCUACCUGCAUGCAACACAAGGAGUUAUUGGAUAGGCACAUGAGGCUGGAAAAGGUAGAAGAUUCUGAGGCCCUGGGCGGGAACUAGUAAGCCACAAUCUGGAAGAGUCUUUUAUCACCAUGUGGAGACCUAGAGCAU
RNAcentral lists this long non-coding RNA (850 nucleotides) under Pongo abelii (Sumatran orangutan). RNAcentral describes it as "lincRNA". The record is from RNAcentral. Lineage: Eukaryota; Metazoa; Chordata; Mammalia; Primates; Hominidae.